CGGGUGAGUAACACGUGGAUAACCUACCUAUAAGACUGGGAUAACUUCGGGAAACCGGAGCUAAUACCGGAUAAUAUUUUGAACCGCAUGGUUCAAAAGUGAAAGAGGUCUUGCUGUCACUUAUAGAUGGAUCCGCGCUGCAUUAGCUAGUUGGUAAGGUAACGGCUUACCAAGGCAACGAUGCAUAGCCGACCUGAGAGGGUGAUCGGCCACACUGGAACUGAGACACGGUCCAGACUCCUACGGGAGGCAGCAGUA
This 258-nucleotide ribosomal RNA is filed under the name uncultured Staphylococcus sp. RNAcentral describes it as "partial 16S ribosomal RNA". It matches the Rfam family "Bacterial small subunit ribosomal RNA", at positions 103 to 355 of the family's 1533-position model. Lineage: Bacteria; Bacillati; Bacillota; Bacilli; Caryophanales; Staphylococcaceae. The record is from RNAcentral.